Molecule: non-coding RNA, 99 nt
Organism: Mycena latifolia
Lineage: Eukaryota; Fungi; Basidiomycota; Agaricomycetes; Agaricales; Mycenaceae
Source: the annotation of a GenBank genome assembly
UCGGACGUGGUGUAUGGUGCACGCCCGCGCUCUCUACAGCUCGUACAUGUGAGUGCAGGAGUAAUGCGGCAGGCCUGGGUUCGACUCCCAGCGUCCGAA